GGGAUAAGGAUAUUAAAGUGCUAGUAUCCAUUAAAAUACUGCGUGGGAAAAGGGAAAUGCAUAUGAGAUGGCAAUUAAAGUGAUAGAUUACCCUGUAUCAUUCAAUUUUUACAGAGGCGAAGAAAAAUGUUGUGGGAUUGGAAUACUGAAUGCUCAAUCAUUUUGUAGUCCAGCUGAAAACUUCUGCUCGAAUCACAAUGAGUACUUUUUCUGAGAUUUAGUCCAUCCUAUACAGGUUACUUCUAAGUUGGCAGCUGUUACCCUCUACAGUGAUGAAACAAGAUUUUUGGCUCCUAUCAACUUUUCUUGGUCGACCACUGCUAAGCAAGCAAUACAAUUAAUUACAUAUUUAUUCUUGAUAUCUAUUACUUUAUCCCAACAAGGAGAUCUUCUGCAUCUCUUCCUUGUGGCAUUUACUCAAUGAAGGAUCAAUUAGGUGAUCAAAUAUAUCACAGUGAAGUAGCCUUUGCCUGCAAAGUUAGUCAGAUUACAGAUUUUUGAAGCUCUAGAAAUUUCAUAUCAGGAAAAGUCCAAUGUCCGGUUAUCUAUUCUAUUACCCAAAAGUACUAAGCUUUUGUGAAUUGACUUGCUUGACAGAAUUUGCUAGCUAGCUGCAAUGAGUUCCAGAAGCACCAACAUCAAACGAGUACAUUUCUAUCUUCUCAUCAACGUCAAGAUACUCAUGUAUUCUGGAGCCAGGUACCCAAAGUUUACAACGACCUUGAUUAGCUUUGUGAUUGAAACUUGCUAGACUGGUGAAGUACAACUGCAACUCCAAAAUCGGACAGCUAAGAAAGUGAUCAAAUAGACAAUUUUUCUAAGCAUGUAAGCUUGUGUAAAACUAGAAUCAUAUAUAUAUAUAUUAUAGCAUUUGGUCAGCCAUGAUAGAUUGCUCAAAUUAAUAUGGGUUCCAUUUGGUUCAAUUCUCAUUCAAUUUCGUGCCAAGAGAAAACCAAAAGACAAAUUAAAUCCCAUUAGUUCAGCAGAGAUUAACAGAUAGAGCUUACUUCUGGUCUGCAAAUGUCAGAGAGGAGAAUGUUGGAUCAAUUCAUUUCUCUAUGAAUUAUUGGAGGGUCACAACCCUGAUGAAGAAAAUCUAAUGCCUUGGCCAUUACUUGACUUGGGCCAAAUUUUGCUUCAAGUUUCCUUUAGCAGAUUAGACACAAUUGCAUACAUAUCCUUUCUGUCACAAUAUCCAAUCAUCUGAGCUAAAUUAUCAUGCUUUGUAGGGACAAUUUCUUUACUUCUCGGAGAAACUCCCUUGUUAAUGAUUCUUGAGCUUUGAGCACUUUGACAGCAGCAGCUCGACCAUCCUCAGGCUUGGCUGGAAACCACUUGCUAUGUCCCUCUUCUCCAAUCACCAUUUGAGGACUAAAAUUGUUAGUGUCAGAACUCAACUCUCUUGUCAAGAAAUGCCUGCCAGACCUCUCUGCCACUGCUAGUGCUAGCGUUUGAAACAAGUUUUCAGGAAAGGAAUUUGGAACCUGCUGUGCUUUCUUGGGUCUGCUGUAUUCUGAGUUUAUAGCAUGUUGUGUUGAUAAUGAUGAUGAUGAGAAAGAAGGCUCAGUCAAUGAUUUGCUCAGCUGAUGGGUAAUUACAGAUUGAUUUAAACACUUGAUUUUGGCAGAUAACUGCAGAUUGAAGGGCUAAUAGACCUGUGGAGCCUUGGGGAAAAGUAUCUUGAACCCGGAUUGCAACUCUUCCAGCACCGUUUAUAUCUACAAAUGUGCAAGUAGGAGGCAACCCAUUAAGGAAGCUUAUCAGAACUGAAUAUUUAAGCCUGCAAGAGUGUUAACCAUACAACAAGAGGGAAAUGAGAAGCAGAGACAGAAAGAAGAGUUUCAGUUUAUCAUGUUCAUUAUUCUGAAAUGCUGCAGCCAAGAGCAAGCAUUGCUGCAUGGCCGAGUCUUACUUGAUUGGACAAUUUAUCAAUAUAAGAGUCUCCUGUACAGACUUUUACAAGGAUGUCAAUCUUUCUGGAGCUGCAGAUGUCUUCGUGAAUAUUGAAACUGUUGAAAUAGAAGGACUCGUCCUUUUGAUCUUGAGCAUGAGCUGCAAUCACACUAUUGUUUUGCUUUAGAUUUAGUUUUUUUCUUUCCUUCCAUGUUAGGGUGGCUUUGGGUUUGAGUUUAUAUUUAGUUCAUUGGAAAUUUCAUAUCAACUUUUCAAAUUACUCGAAUAUUUAGGCCAUAAGUGGCAGAAAACAGUAUCUGAGUUUUCAUUUUUUAAAUGUGUUCAUUCUUUGUGCGCA
This is a long non-coding RNA of Carica papaya (papaya), 2251 nucleotides long. RefSeq lists it as uncharacterized. The record is from RefSeq and is a predicted model, not a curated record. Lineage: Eukaryota; Viridiplantae; Streptophyta; Magnoliopsida; Brassicales; Caricaceae.